GGAUAAGAUGGAGCAACGCCGCGUGCAGGAUGAAGGGCUUAGGUUCGUAAACUGCUUUUAUAUGUGACGAUUAUGACGGUAGCAUAUGAAUAAGGAUCGGCUAAUUCCGUGCCAGCAGCCGCGGUCAUACGGAAGAUCCAAGCGUUAUCCGGAAUUACUGGGCGUAAAGAGUUGCGUAGGUGGCAUAGUAAGUAGAUAGUGAAAUGAUGCGGCUCAACCGUAUGUCCAUUAUCUAAACUGCUGAGCUAGA
RNAcentral lists this ribosomal RNA (250 nucleotides) under uncultured bacterium. RNAcentral's name for it is "partial 16S ribosomal RNA". It matches the Rfam family "Bacterial small subunit ribosomal RNA", at positions 379 to 645 of the family's 1533-position model. The record is from RNAcentral.